GAACUUUAUUGAUUUAUGAGGGAUUUGGUUGUAGCUGGUUCAUUAUUUGGGCAUGUGCACACCUUCUCUCUUUCAUCCACACACACCUGUGCACCUGUGAGGCAGAUGGGGAAUUUAUUGAUUGUUCUCUAAGAACAAUUGGUGUUGGACCCUCUGUCUACUCAAUACAUAUAAACUCAAUUUAUUUAGAAAUGAAUGUAAUGGAUGUAACGCAUCUAAUACUAAGUUUCAACAACGGAUCUCUUGGCUCUCGCAUCGAUGAAGAACGCAGCGAAAUGCGAUAAGUAAUGUGAAUUGCAGAAUUCAGUGAAUCAUCGAAUCUUUGAACGCACCUUGCGCUCCUUGGUAUUCCUUGGAGCAUGCCUGUUUGAGUAUCAUGAAAUCUUCAAAGUAAAAUCUUUUGUUAAUUCAAUUGGUUUUGCCUUGGUCUUGGAGGUCUUUGCAGCUUCACACCUGCUCCUCUUUGUGUAUUAGCUGGAUCUCAGUGUUAUGCUUGGUUCCACUCGGCGUGAUAAGUUAUCUAUCGCUGAGGACACUGUAAUAGGUGGCCAAGGGAAAUGCAGAUGAACCGCUCCUAAUAGUCCAUUCACUUGGACACUAUUUUCUUAUGAUCUGAUCUCAAAUCAGGUAGGGACUACCCCGCUGAACUUAAGCAUAUCAUAAAAACGGGAGAGGA
This 676-nucleotide ribosomal RNA is filed under the name Rhizoctonia solani AG-5. RNAcentral describes it as "eukaryotic LSU rRNA". The stretch from base 224 to 377 matches the Rfam family "5.8S ribosomal RNA". The record is from RNAcentral. Lineage: Eukaryota; Fungi; Basidiomycota; Agaricomycetes; Cantharellales; Ceratobasidiaceae.